This is a non-coding RNA of Prunus avium (sweet cherry), 225 nucleotides long. Lineage: Eukaryota; Viridiplantae; Streptophyta; Magnoliopsida; Rosales; Rosaceae. The record is from RefSeq and is a predicted model, not a curated record.
CUGCAGAUUAUAAGCUUAGAUGGGUCUGCUUGAAGAAGCUUUGUUAUAUUCAUAAUCAGCAGUUCAUUUUAGUUGCUUGCAGUUUUUCGGGGAUUCUUUUGGCAGAGGAGUUGAAGGGUUAGAAGCAUUUAGGUGAAGAAAAUGCUUUCUUUGAGUUACUUCUAUUUCAACUUUCUGUGAAAUUCCUUUUUCUUUUGACUGAAAACGCUCUGACCUUCUAAUGCA